GAUGAACGCUGGCGGCGUGCCUAAUACAUGCAAGUCGAGCGAACGGACGAGAAGCUUGCUUCUCUGACGUUAGCGGCGGACGGGUGAGUAACACGUGGAUAACCUACCUAUAAGACUGGGAUAACUUCGGGAAACCGGAGCUAAUACCGGAUAAUAUUUUGAACCGCAUGGUUCAAAAGUGAAAGACGGUCUUGCUGUCACUUAUAGAUGGAUCCGCGCUGCAUUAGCUAGUUGGUAAGGUAACGGCUUACCAAGGCAACGAUGCAUAGCCGACCUGAGAGGGUGAUCGGCCACACUAGAACUGAGACACGGUCCAGAGUCCUACGAGACGCAGCAGUAGGGUAUCGUCCGCAAUGGGCGGGAGCCUGACGGAGCAACGCCGCGUGAGUGAUGAAGGUCUUCGGAGCGUAAAACUCUGUUAUUAGGGAAGAACAUAUGUGUAAGUAACUGUGCACAUCUUGACGGUACCUAAUCAGAAAGCCACGGCUAACUACGUG
RNAcentral lists this ribosomal RNA (497 nucleotides) under uncultured bacterium. Its description in RNAcentral is "partial 16S ribosomal RNA". It matches the Rfam family "Bacterial small subunit ribosomal RNA", at positions 28 to 507 of the family's 1533-position model. The record is from RNAcentral.